RNAcentral lists this ribosomal RNA (86 nucleotides) under Oryctolagus cuniculus (rabbit). Lineage: Eukaryota; Metazoa; Chordata; Mammalia; Lagomorpha; Leporidae. The record is from RNAcentral.
GUUUGUGGUCAUACUGUCCUGAUUGCACCUGAUCUCGUCUGAUCUUUGAAGUUAAGCAGGAUUGGGUCUGGCUGAUAUUUCAAUGA